CUACGGGGGGCACCAGUGGGGAAUAUUGCACAAUGGGCGCAAGCCUGAUGCAGCCAUGCCGCGUGUAUGAAGAAGGCCUUCGGGUUGUAAAGUACUUUCAGCGGGGAGGAAGGGAGUAAAGUUAAUACCUUUGCUCAUUGACGUUACCCGCAGAAGAAGCACCGGCUAACUCCGUGCCAGCAGCCGCGGUAAUACGGAGGGUGCAAGCGUUAAUCGGAAUUACUGGGCGUAAAGCGCACGCAGGCGGUUGGUUAAGUCAGAUGUGAAAUCCCCGGGCUCAACUUGGGAACUGCAUCUGAUACUGGCAAGCUUGAGUCUCGUAGAGGGGGGUAGAAUUCCAGGUGUAGCGUUGAAAUGCGUAGAGAUCUGGAGGAAUACCGGUGGCGAAGGCGGCCCCCUGGACGAAGACUGACGCUCAGGUGCGAAAGCGUGGGGAGCAAACAGGAUUAGAUACCCCGGUAGUC
RNAcentral lists this ribosomal RNA (464 nucleotides) under uncultured bacterium. RNAcentral's name for it is "partial 16S ribosomal RNA". It matches the Rfam family "Bacterial small subunit ribosomal RNA", at positions 339 to 795 of the family's 1533-position model. The record is from RNAcentral.